AGGACGCAUUUUUUUUAAUAAAAAAAUAUAAUAAGAUGUUCAAAUGUUGGAACAGAAUCCAUUUAUUAAAUCAAAUUUACAAGAUAAAAUUUUGAAAGCGUUAUGCUCAGCUCUGUUCGUGUAACGCACUGUAGGAACUGAAUAAUUCAUUUAAGGAUGUAAUCCCCUCUAAUGAUAACUGGAUCAGUGUCGCGAAAGUUAAGACAACCCCUACAUUUUCUACCAUCAUUUGAUCUUCUUCAGACUAGCGAAUGCAAGUGUCGAGAUACCGGCAAGCACUUAAAGGGAUUCAAGUGCAAUACUGACAUCCUAAGACAAGCACAAGCUGCGCCGUGAAGAAGGCAAGAGAAGCAAAAAAACGUAGAGGAAGUCCGGCCAGAUUCGUUCCUGGAACUGUUGCGGCGUCGGUUGUGGAAAUCCUGUCAAAGCCAUAAGGACUGGCCUAGGUGAGGAUCGAAUACCAUUGUCCUUUUCCAGUCGAUAUGGAUUAGCCUUCUUUACAGAAGGCGGAAUACCAUCUUCCGGCCAGAUUCGUUCCUGGAACUGUUGCGGCGUCGGUGGUGGAAAUCCUGUCACUGCCGUAAGGACUGGCCUAAGUGAGGAUCGAAUACCGUUGUCGUUUUCCAGUCGAUAUGGAUUAGCCUUCUUUACAGAAGGCAGAA
Long non-coding RNA from Daphnia magna, 662 nucleotides. RefSeq lists it as uncharacterized. The record is from RefSeq and is a predicted model, not a curated record. Lineage: Eukaryota; Metazoa; Arthropoda; Branchiopoda; Diplostraca; Daphniidae. The transcript is spliced from 3 exons.